This 3256-nucleotide long non-coding RNA is filed under the name Homo sapiens (human). RNAcentral describes it as "HSALNT0339284". Lineage: Eukaryota; Metazoa; Chordata; Mammalia; Primates; Hominidae. The record is from RNAcentral.
AGUAUUUGCAAAGCACUGAUAAAAACAUCUCUCUUCUCUCAAUCUUGCUUCCUUCUUUUCAUUUACUAAAUAGGCUUUUGAGCCUCACAAGACUUUGAGAUUUUAUGGAUAUGAAACCUGCUAUCAUUUAGCAUCCUGCCUCUGGGAAUAGACAUGGAUUCUCACUAUGACACCCAGGCUGGAGUGCAGUGGCACAAUCAUAGCUGACUACAGCCUCGAAUUUCUGGGCUCAAGCAAGGCUUUCAUCUCAACCUCCCCAGGAGCUGGGAUUACAGAUGGUGUCAGAAGCGGGGUUCAAAGUAGAGCUUUAAUGACCCCCAGAAGUGCUGAGUGAACAAGCAAGGUACCUGCAAGGACCCACUUGUGUCCUUUGAUCUCUCAGAGCAGUGGAAUUUUCAGCCUGCCAGCCUGCCCUACAGAAUUCAGACUUGUCAGCCUCCACAAUCAGUUCUAGAGGCUGAUAAGUCCAAGCAUAUGGUGCCAGCAUCUGGUGAGGCCUUCUUGCUGUGUAAUCUCAUGGCAGAAGAGUGGAAGGACAAGUGAGCACAUGCAAAAGGGAUUGUACAAGGUGCUGAGCUGGCUUUAUUACAACUUGCUCUUGAGAUAACUACCAACUCUGAUGAUAGGACCUUAAUCUAUUCAUAAGGGUGCUGCCUAUGAUUUGAUUACCUCUUAAAGGCCCCACAUCUUAAUACUUUUACAAUGGCAAUUAAAUGUCAACAUGAGUUUCAGUGGAGACAAACAUUCAAACCAUAGCAAAGGCUUAGAAUAGAAUCCUAGGAAUUCCAAAAUUGCCAGACAGAGAAAAAGAUGACAGCUACAGAAUCUGUGAAAUAUGUUCAUCAAAGUAAAAAGAAAUCCAGACAGUCAGUGACCUGUGAGCCAAUGGAAGAGAGAGACCACACAGGUGAGUGCCAAUGAGAGAUCAAAUGAGAUAUAGGUCAUAGUUACUUGUUCUAUUAAAUGACAUAGAAGAUAAAGGUGGCCUUAGCAAAAAUAGAAUUUCAAACUGUUAGGGAGGAAGCCAGACUGGAAUUAGAGAGGUAGCUGAAGAAUGACAGGGAAUGAGUAGAGAGGAACAGAGAGUAUAGGUUCUUUUGAAGAGCCAGGAAAGUUGGCAUGAAGAAGCUCAAUAUCUCUUUCUGUCUCUCAUUCUCACUCUGUGUGUGUAUGUGUGUGUGUGUGUGUGUGUGGUGGGGAGAAGGAAUAAGAGACAGAAAUCUUGAAACAUUAAAAUUAUCAUUAAAUGAUGGUGAGAAGGAAAGAAAUAUAAAAGUUAUGGUAAGAGAAAAAUAUGAGUAAUAUUUAACUCUUUCCAGAAAGGAUCCUCAAACCAAAGAACAUCCAUUUAGGCACUAUGGCUAGUGUUCAAACACACAAUAACCUCAAAAUAACACUUGCUGUCAAGCAGAAUUUGUAAAACUGAGCUGAAUAAUCAUGGAUUCAAAGGAAUUUAUUUCCUGACAUAUCAAAAUGGCCUUGUUUAAAUCAUGUAAUCGAGUCUAUAAUAAAAAUUUAAUCUUAAGGUUUUAUAGCUCAAAAAAAUCUGUAUUUUAAAUUUUUAGGCAGUUUCUUCUAAGGUGAACAAUGGUAUUUACCUUUUGGGUAGAACAUGACUUAUUUUUGGAAGUAUUGCUUGAGUAAUAUUAAGAAUUAGGAAAUAUCUACUUGCUGAUAUGAGAGUAUACAAAAAUGUUUGCUUGACAAGCUUCCGAGGGCUCUGUAAGAUUGUGGUGAUAUCAGAUAAUGCCCUUCCCAAAUGUGUCUGCUCAUCAAUGAAUUUACACACAUGCAUAACAGCUUCCUGGGAGCAGAAUGGCUUGUACCUGGUUCUGUCUCUGAGUGUUUCAAAGAUAUGGAAGCAUGUUUGAUGAAAGAUCAUGGAAUAGCAAAGAAAAAUAGCACCAAAAAGGCAAACAAGGCAGGGAAAGAUUCUAGACUAGUGAUUUGGGAUCAACACAGGACAGGAUGAUUAGAGAGAAUAGCUUCCUGUGCACACUAUGUAGUUUGAUGCAGAAGCCAUCCUGAUCCAGAUGCCCUGGUACUGUGGGGCGGGACCUUGGAAAAAUUACCCAGAGGAUGUGAAGUGAAAGUUUUGUUACACCAUUCUUCAGAGUGAAGGCAGUUUUCCUACAGAAACCUUCAAAAAAGGAGAUGCAUCCUUCCUUGUUCCUGGCAGUCUUGCAUUUGAGGAAAUCAGUAUGCUCCAACUUAGGUGAGUUAGGCCACUGGCCAAUUUUUUUUUUUUUCUGUAGCCCUCCUCUACUCUGAGUUCCUAAUUCCACUUGUUCUGAAUUUUUUUUGGUGACGCAUUGUCUCCAUUAUUGAACUUAGUCCUUUCAAAAAUUAGCAAAGCUGGGAAUUUUCAUCCUAUUCUUUUCCUACUUUCAGAACUUUGAACUUUGAAUUUUCAGGAAGCCAUGAAGAAUGGAGUAAGAUUCUAGGACCAGUUAACAAGAACAUGUAAAAUAAUUUGUUUGUAAAAUAAUCUUAUGAGGCUAAAGCACAAGCCAGAGCAGAUUUUUUUCAAAAUGCAUAAGCAACACUUGUUCAAUUCCACCUGCUGCAGUUAAAGAAAAACUUAUCUUUUAGUCUCCAGAGGCAGAAAAAAAGCAGAAAAGGUUGUUGAAAUUCUUCACAUUGAUUUCAGGGCAAUGAUCUCAAACGGCGCAGUGGGAACCCGCAAAUUUAAGAGGGUAGUUUCCCUGCACAAGCCCUUUUUUUGCCUGCUGCCAUCCGUGUAAGAUGUGACUUGCUCCUCCUUGUCUUCUACCAUGAUUGUGAGGCCUCCCCAGUUAUGUGGAACUCAAAGCUAGAGGAAACCAAAGUCAUAGAACAUCUGAACUCUGUCCAAACAUCGGUCGUAUUUCAAAAUUUCAGUAGCCACCAUCCCGCAGCCAACGAUAAUAUCUGACACUUCCUGACAUCAUGAAAGCCACCAUCUGUCUAUCACCAAAACCCUGUACUUUUUAAAGACUACUUGGCUUGAUCCUUAAUGAAGCUUCAAGUUGAAUGCACAGAUCGCUUUAGAAGGAAUACAAGGAAUAAUUGACACAAGAGAUCUCCUGGAAAAAGCCUUAUACCUAAUAUUCUUGUUUGGAGGAAGAAACUGGGAAAAACAUCUGUCAUCUCCUCACCAGGUUGUUUUUUGUUUUUUGUUUUUCUACUGAGCUGUUGUACAGAAGCCAUUUAUUGAGUAUGCAGGCUAUUUUAACAGUGCCUUGCAGUAUAAGCGUGGGCUAGAGAAAAGAAGAAA